RNAcentral lists this ribosomal RNA (508 nucleotides) under uncultured bacterium. RNAcentral's name for it is "partial 16S ribosomal RNA". It matches the Rfam family "Bacterial small subunit ribosomal RNA", at positions 28 to 507 of the family's 1533-position model. The record is from RNAcentral.
GACGAACGCUGGCGGCGUGCCUAAUACAUGCAAGUCGAACGCUUCUUUCCUCCCGAGUGCUUGCACUCAAUUGGAAAGAGGAGUGGCGGACGGGUGAGUAACACGUGGGUAACCUACCCAUCAGAGGGGGAUAACACUUGGAAACAGGUGCUAAUACCGCAUAACAGUUUAUGCCGCAUGGCAUAAGAGUGAAAGGCGCUUUCGGGUGUCGCUGAUGGAUGGACCCGCGGUGCAUUAGCUAGUUGGUGAGGUAACGGCUCACCAAGGCCACGAUGCAUAGCCGACCUGAGAGGGUGAUCGGCCACACUGGGACUGAGACACGGCCCAGACUCCUACGGGAGGCAGCAGUAGGGAAUCUUCGGCAAUGGACGAAAGUCUGACCGAGCAACGCCGCGUGAGUGAAGAAGGUUUUCGGUUCGUAAAACUCUGUUGUUAGAGAAGAACAAGGACGUUAGUAACUGAACGUCCCCUGACGGUAUCUAACCAGAAAGACACGGCUAACUACGUG